AGAGUUUGAUCAUGGCUCAGGACGAACGCUGGCGGCGUGCCUAACACAUGCAAGUCGAACGAGAAUCUCCUGUGUGAUCCCUUCGGGGUGAACUUUGGAGAGGAAAGUGGCGGACGGGCGAGUAACGCGUGAGUAACCUGCCGAUAAGAGGGGGAUAAUCCUUGGAAACGAGGACUAAUACCGCAUAUUGUAACGAUAUCGCAUGAUAUUGUUAUGAAAGCUUUAGCGCUUAUUGAUGGACUCGCGUCAGAUUAGCUAGUUGGUGAGGUAACGGCUCACCAAGGCGACGAUCUGUAGCCGAACUGAGAGGUUGAUCGGCCGCAUUGGGACUGAGACACGGCCCAGACUCCUACGGGAGGCAGCAGUGGGGAAUAUUGCGCAAUGGGGGGAACCCUGACGCAGCAACGCCGCGUGCAGGAAGAAGGUCUUCGGAUUGUAAACUGUUGUCGCAAGGGAGGAAGACAGUGACGGUACCUUGUGAGAAAGUCACGGCUAACUACGUGCCAGCAGCCGCGGUAAUACGUAGGUGACAAGCGUUGUCCGGAUUUACUGGGUGUAAAGGGCGCGUAGGCGGACUGUCAAGUCAGUCGUGAAAUACCGGGGCUUAACCCCGGAGCUGCGAUUGAAACUGACAGCCUUGAGUAUCGGAGAGGAAAGCGGAAUUCCUAGUGUAGCGGUGAAAUGCGUAGAUAUUAGGAGGAACACCAGUGGCGAAGGCGGCUUUCUGGACGACAACUGACGCUGAGGCGCGAAAGUGUGGGGAGCAAACAGGAUUAGAUACCCUGGUAGUCCACACCGUAAACGAUGGAUACUAGGUGUAGGAGGUAUCGACCCCUUCUGUGCCGCAGUUAACACAAUAAGUAUCCCACCUGGGGAGUACGACCGCAAGGUUGAAACUCAAAGGAAUUGACGGGGGCCCGCACAAGCAGUGGAGUAUGUGGUUUAAUUCGAAGCAACGCGAAGAACCUUACCUGGGCUUGACAUCCCGACGACCGCUUUAGAGAUA
Molecule: ribosomal RNA, 1006 nt
Filed under: uncultured rumen bacterium
Lineage: Bacteria
Description: bacterial SSU rRNA
Rfam family: Bacterial small subunit ribosomal RNA
Source: RNAcentral